This 85-nucleotide transfer RNA is filed under the name Felis catus (domestic cat). It matches the Rfam family "tRNA". Rfam says of the family: Transfer RNA (tRNA) molecules are approximately 80 nucleotides in length. Lineage: Eukaryota; Metazoa; Chordata; Mammalia; Carnivora; Felidae. The record is from Rfam by way of RNAcentral.
GCCCGGGUGGCUCAGUUGGUUGAGCGUCUGAUUUCCGCUCAGGUCACGAUCCCACGGUUCGUGAGUUCGAGCCCCGCUUCGGGCU